CUACCGGUAAAAUUACGGAUUGGAAUCAGAUAUACUUCUUUAAAAUAUUUUUCUUAAUUUUCAAUUAAUUUGUGUAAGGGUGAUCGUAUUCAGCUGUUGAUGCUAUAUAUCACUGUUCUCAAAAGCCAUCAGUAAACGAUUCCAGUCAACACUGACGACAAAUUUGAAGAAUUAAUCUGCACAAGAUUUUAAAAAAAUAGGGG
RNAcentral lists this long non-coding RNA (203 nucleotides) under Elaeis guineensis (African oil palm). Its description in RNAcentral is "long non-coding RNA (EGUI_LNC013786)". Lineage: Eukaryota; Viridiplantae; Streptophyta; Magnoliopsida; Arecales; Arecaceae. The record is from RNAcentral.